This 881-nucleotide long non-coding RNA is filed under the name Ictidomys tridecemlineatus (thirteen-lined ground squirrel). RNAcentral describes it as "lncRNA (ENSSTOG00000029453.1)". Lineage: Eukaryota; Metazoa; Chordata; Mammalia; Rodentia; Sciuridae. The record is from RNAcentral.
CUCACCCCUACAGUGCUGGGUUCAACUCACAAUGACCCACCCCAAGAAAGGAAAAGGCCAAGAACACACUCUGGGAUGGACCCCACAGUCCAGUGAUCUGAGGCUCACAGCCUGAGCUAGGACAGAAUGGGACUUGGUGGAGGAUGACUGCAUGCCCGGUGCUUAUCCAGGAUCACCUUGCCUCAGUGCACACAAGCACAAGUCCCAUUUCUUCUCCUCAUCCCACUCCAUUGCUUUUGGUAAAGCUGAAGAAGUGGAGCAGAAGGAGGCGAAUCUUGCUUUGGGAAACCAAGCCACCUUAUCCUUGCAUCAUUUCCCAAGUUCAGAAGAGAUGGAAGCCUCUCAAGCUAUGCCAGAGAAAUGGGUGUUUGGGAUAUGGAGACAGCAGUCUUGCUCCUUGUCAAAGUCUUCCUUCCCUGUUGCUGCACAUACCAAGCUCUCUUCCCAGCCUCAACUUCUCACACAUACACUGAAUCUCACAUCCCCCAUGCAGGGUUCUAUGCGAGGCAGUGAGUCUUUCAGAGAUGACUGGGCUGAGGAGCAGGAAACAUGUCCCCUUUAGCUGUACUAUGAGCCCUUGGACAGCAGAAGUCUCCAAUCUUACCUUCUUGAACCCCCCCCCAUACCUAAGGACCAAGACAAUCAAAUAAUUAGUAGACACUAGUGAAAUCAAAAUUCUUACUUGGCUUUUCUUCCCUCUCCGAACCCUGAGCACACUCAAUACGGUUGGCUUUUUCUAAGUCCCUGUCAGAUGAGACCUCGGGUCCGGCCUGCAGCCUUCUGCCUUGAUGGCUCUGAGGCUCUAGUCCUCAGCCUUAGGCAUUCAUUAGAGUGACUUGGGGAGAAUUUUUUAAAAUUCCAGUAAGUAGACUAUACCCCAA